Molecule: transfer RNA, 73 nt
Filed under: Caudoviricetes sp.
Lineage: Duplodnaviria; Heunggongvirae; Uroviricota; Caudoviricetes
Description: tRNA-Ile
Rfam family: tRNA
About the family: Transfer RNA (tRNA) molecules are approximately 80 nucleotides in length. Their secondary structure includes four short double-helical elements and three loops (D, anti-codon, and T loops).
Source: RNAcentral
AGCAGGAUAGAGCAGUAGUAGCUCGUCGGUCUUAUUAGCCGAAGGUCGAAUGGUGCAAAUCCUUCUCCUGCAA